This 224-nucleotide long non-coding RNA is filed under the name Musa acuminata (dwarf banana). RNAcentral describes it as "long non-coding RNA (MACU_LNC000518)". Lineage: Eukaryota; Viridiplantae; Streptophyta; Magnoliopsida; Zingiberales; Musaceae. The record is from RNAcentral.
AAAUAAGGCAUUCAUAGCCUUUGCCUUUAAAGCGAAAGUCUUCUUCUCUAACUCAUUCCAAUCGUUCAUUGGAAGAGAAGACUUUUGAAAUCCAUUUUCUACAAUAUUCCAAAGCUCAAAAUCCAUUGAAAUCAAGAAGAUCCUCAUUCUUGUCUUCCAAUAUGUGUAAUUCGUUCCGUUGAAUAUGGGCGGAUGUGUAAUUGAAUGACCCUCUUAGUUGCCAG